RNAcentral lists this long non-coding RNA (42651 nucleotides) under Setaria italica (foxtail millet). Its description in RNAcentral is "long non-coding RNA (SITA_LNC006322)". Lineage: Eukaryota; Viridiplantae; Streptophyta; Magnoliopsida; Poales; Poaceae. The record is from RNAcentral.
CUACCUGUGGUACCCGCUCUCAGCCAUCCUGGUCGUUAUCGUCCUCAAGUCAUAUCUGAUGAUAGCUUCCAUGAGGAUGGUGAGCAAGUCUUACCUCGGUAAGAACGUGAAGGUGAUCGCCGAAUACAUGCAGCAUAUAGACAACAGGCUGGUGGUCUUCAAUCCUGUGACCAUGGAAGGCUACCAGUACAUGGUCGCUGGUGAGAAACACUGCGUUAACAGGCCUGGACACACACCAUGGUACAAGAAGCCGGACGACUUGAAGGUUACCACCGUGGAGCAGAUCUGGCAGUGCGAGGGGAAUCUGCUCAUUGGUGAUCAGGGCAAGGUGCUCAAGGACUUGUGCCUCUCUAUGGCUCUCUCCAAGAUGCUCAACCGAAGGUUUGCUGGCUUCAAGCUCUCAGAGGCAGAGCUUGAGAAAACCCACGACUUCGUAUUCAAAGGCCUGCUCGCCGGGGACGAGCAGCGGGCCUUCAGGGUCAUUGAGGAAGAACUUGUUUUUGUCCAUGACAUGUAUUACACAAGGUACUCUUACCUCUACCAAAAGGGUCGAUACCUGGCUCUCUGUCUGCCUGUCAUCAUGUUUGCCCUAUGCUCGUGGCUCACAGUGGCCAGCCUGCACGUCAAGCAUCACGACGACCCCUAUCUCAGUAAUCAUAGCAAUCGCAGUCUGAUGUCUGGCACCAUAGUCAUAACGGUUGUCUUGGCAUUCCUGGAGGCAUACCAGCUGUACCUGUACAUAGCCUCAGGUUGGUUCAAGGUGGCACUGAUACGGAGCUAUGUCGCCGCACCUUUUUUGCAAACAAGCUGUUUCUAUGAGAUGAUCAUACAUCUUCUCUUGAUGUUGAAGGUGUUUCGCCCAUGGAAGGGCAGACUUGGGCAGUACUGUUUCCUCGAGAAUCUUGGCCGCAAAAGUAAGGUUGUGAAUUGUCUCCAUUAUGGUACACUGUGCUUGGUGGACAAGGCCAUGAAGGGAAGCAAGAAAUCAGUGAAGGUCUCCGAAGAUGUGAAGAAAGCCAUCAUUGAUUCCCUACUAGCAAGCAACGGACACCUGACGAACGGGGUAACAUCGCUGCAAAAAAAUGGCGUCCAUGAUGACCUCAAAUGGGCAUGUGAUGCUACUGCUACUGACGGAGCGUUGGCUCGCACCAUUGUGGUCUGGCACAUUGCUACAACCCAGUGCGAGCAGAAGCUGGAUAAACAAGUCAAAGAAGAAGACGCUGUCAAAACAGCCUCCACUUUAUCCAAGUACUGCAUGCACCUCCUUGCUUUCGCACCUAACCUCUUGCCCGACCACAGCUCCAUAUCGGAAUCCAUACUUGAUUAGUCAAUCCACGAAGCAAGCAAGUUACUCAAAGAGGCCAAGGACAAGAAGAUCAAGGGCAAGAACAAGAAGAUCGAGGGCAGGUGUGAGAUACUAAUGCAAAUUAGCACUGAUGAUGAUUGUGUUGAUGAUGAAACAAUUCUUGUUGCGCGGGGCGUUCACCUUGCAAGGCAACUGAUUGAUAACAUACAAGACUUCACAACACGGUGGAAGGUGCUAUCUGAUUUCUGGGCGGAGAUGAUGCUGUAUGUCUCGCCAUCCGACGAUGCUCGGGAGCACCUGGAAGUUCUUGCAAUAGGAGGGGAGUUCAUCACGCACCUUUGGGCGCUGCUCACGCAUGCCGGUGUGCUGAAGCGAGGACCUACAGUGCCAAAGGAUGGUUUGUGACCUCUUUAACAAGUACACACGUAGCAGUCAUUAUAUCUAUCUAGUGCUUGUAACAUUCUAUGUAUGUUGGCACACCAUGUGUGAGUUAGUCUGUCGAGUCUGUAUCUCUUUUCAUGUCGAGUUAGUUUGUCGAGUCUGUAUCUCUUUUCAUGUCGUGUCCGUUGUCAGAUUUUGGGCAGAGUCAGAUCUGGUAAUUUCCGCAAGUUUCCUUAAGAAGAGCGUGUGUUCAGGUUGUUGGACGUGCGCGCGUCUAAGGUGGCCAUUACAGUCGCAAUCUGUUCCAUCGACCACUUGGGCACUCUCUCUCAGUUGCGUCUGUUCGUCUGUCAAUUGAGCAGGUCCUGUUGCAGCAGAGAUUGACCCUGCUACUACAGAAGGGGCGGGGAUCCCCUCCUGAGGAUUCCAGCUCUUUAGGGAGGGGUUCAACCUUGAGGAAGAUGCCAUAGUAGGAAUUCUUGCAUUCAUGUUCGUAACAAUACUGAGUGUUAUGGAAAAAUAUGGUCUUCUUCCUCUUCCCUCUUUGGGGAAGGGAAGCCUUUAUUCUUCGCGGAGUGUAUUGGGGAUAUAGGACUGAAAGCAGUGAUCAAGGACACGACUUGCCUUCUUGGUCUUGCUCCUGCUGUUCAUACUCCUCGAAGGCUUGAUCUUCAAAUCCCUCGAACUGCUGAACGUCUACACGCAUCAGACAAGCACAUACAAGCAAACAAGGGCAUAAAGUAAGAAAACAAUACACCAAUCAAAAUUAAACAGAGAAAACAAGCUUGUAAAAUUGAUCUACGCUUUAAAAACGAACAUGUAGAUAUAAAGAAUGCGAAAAAAGGAGUUAAGAUGCAAAAGAUAUAAUUAAAAUAAGAUCCAGGGGUUUUUCUGCGAGAAUUCAAAACUUUUAGGGUCAAACUGCGAAAAAUUGAGGACUUAUACAUAAUUACGUGUAUAAACUGAAGGUUUAAUGUGCAAAAACGCAACUUAGGAUGGCAGGUUGAUUUUAGAGAAACUCAGGGUCGAAACCGAAAUAAAAUAGGACCAAAACACAAAUGCUUUUGAACUGGAUUGGACUGCGGGUUGAUUUGCAGAAAAGGUGAGGGCUUAAGUGCAAAAGAGGCGCGACGCGGCGCGGUUGACUAGUACGCGAUCUAGUUGACCCGCUGUGGGCCGUCGGAUUUGGAUCCGACGGUCAUGGUCGUCGGCGACACUGAAGCGGUGGCAGAAAAAGGUGGCGGACGGCGACGAGCGGCGGCGCUUUGCCGGAGUUGGCCGAAACAGCGCUCCGGGGUUCGGUUUCGCGCGCGGAUUGCACGAGAUGGAUGCGGGGAACACGACGAACUCAUUUAGGGCUUUGGCGGGGGUUGCGGUGCGACGGAGCUCACUUUUUGGCGGCGGCUUGCGGCGGUGCUGCUAGGGUUUGGAGGGGCGAUGGCUGGGUGCUUGAGGCCGGGGGGGGUGCGGCGGCUUAAAUAGGGGCGUAUGGCGGCGGGAUACGGAUAGGAGAUGGACUCCGCGCGGAGGAAGCGCGCGGCGGUUGCGGGAGGUGGGCGGAGUCCGGGCGCGGUCGGGGAGAAGUCCCGGCCGGGUACGCCUGCCCCACCCGUCAGACCGGUGGAAGGGAGCGGGUCGGCGCUGCUUCGCGGGCCGUGGAGGAAAGGAGAUGGGCCGGUGAGGGAGAAACGUGGCGUGGGCCGGAGGAGCUGAGGGGAGGCGGGGCCGAAAAGGGAGGGAGGUCGGUAUGCUGGCCAGGCCGGCAGAACGGGCCGAGCAAACGAGACGGGCCGACAAGUGAAGGUGGAGCUGGUGGCGCUGGGCCGCAAGGAGUUGGAGCCGGGCUGAAAGAAAAAGGAGGAGGAGAAAGAAUGCAGCCCAAGAGGGGACAGUAAAAGAAAAGAAGAAAAGGAAAAGUUUUGGAAAUUGAAUUUGAGAUUUUGAAUUGGAAUUUGGAUCAAAUACAAUCAACCAAAAAUUAUGCACCAGCAUGAAUGUACAACAAACUCCUAUGAUGAAUUAAUUUAAUUUAGAGAAAAUGAAAAUUAAUAUGCCUAAGAAUUUAAAUGACAUCUUAAUUAAGCAAAUUUUAAUGAAUUUAAAUUAAGCAAAUUUUAAUGAAUUUAAAUUAAGCAAAUUUUAAUGAAUUUAAAUUCUUUAAAAAUUUGGUGUUACAAAUGCCAGGCUUUCGGGUCCGUGCACCCAAGUCCUAACAUGACGGAGAUUCUGGGUACCAUCCUAUGCCAAGUAGCAGAUGGUGCAAUGUCUGCUGGCAGUGGCACCGAACCUGCAGCAGAACAAAAUAUCAUCAACGACAUAUCAAUUUCCCUCUCUGACAAGAGGUACGCAACAUUGCAUCCUGUCCAUUCCCAUUCCCUUUGCGCUUGUCGAACAACCCGUUUGUGUUAUGGUACUAUCCUAAAAAUAGAACAUAUUAUGUUUGGAACGUUAGUCCAACAACCCGUGCAUCCACACAUAUUUUUAGAAAAAGCAUAGAUAAUUGAGCUUUGUGAAAGGCAUAUAAUUUAGUAAUAUUUAGAGGUGAUUAUGUUUUCUAAGUUUUUUACCAUGUUUCUUCUUCCUCCUAUGAUUAUGUGAAAGGUUUUAUGGAGUACUCAACAAAGUUUGCUAGUCCAUUAACCACGCUUUUGCACGGGAUAUAAAUUUUAAAAGAUUCAUAAGUAUUAAAAGCUCAUGGAUAGUUAAUCCGAAGUCUACGAGUAAUUGAGAAAUUGCUUAUCUUUGCUUUGUCUCCUAUUUAUUUAAUUUUUUUAAAACAAUAUAUACCCAUAUAGGUAUUUUCUUAUAAUCUUGUAUGUUGGUGAUUGGUGUUGAUUAAAAAUUACUUUAUAUGCCUUUUAAUUCACAUUCAUAGUCUUUUCAACUUUAGAUGAAACAUUAGUGAAGGACUGAGAUGGGCGACUGGGGGUGAAUAGGAGCCUCCAAUAAUUCUUUUAAAUAAUAAGGCCUAUAUCCCAAUUGCCACCCAAAACGCAUCUCGCUUCUAAUCAUCAAGAUGACACUAGUCAACUCGUGACAAUUUCAUCUUAGGAACGAUUAGAAACACUCGAAAGCGUAGCGGAAGCAAAGAAAAGCAAAACUUCGAAAAGUUUGCACGAGAUAUUGAUCUCAAACACUACCAAAUCAUUACUUGACUAAGCAUGCUUGAAAUAAUUAAUUAAGAAUUAAGCAUGAUUAACAAAGUGACAAAACUACUGAACAAGUAGCUAAUAAACAAGGUAGCACAGAUUAACUAGUAAUAAUUAACUAGCUCAAGUGAUAAAUUAAUAAUUGCAUGAAUUAAAGAACCGAGCAACCAAAGAAAAGCAACUGGGCUGCAGCUUGCUCACCUUGCUGGGCCGCUUGCACACUGCCACGGAAGAGCUCCUAGCUGCUGUGCUGAUGGGCGAGCCUGGUGCUGCACGGACCGGUGUGCUGGGCCGCCUGGCUCCGGCCUGCUACGUUGACAGGUCUGGAUCGCUCGAGCCUAGCCACGGCCUACUGGACUGCUCGGCCGCGCGGCUCCCUCCGGCGUGGCUGGGCUGCCUGGCCACCCGCGCUGGGCCGCCUGCCUGGUCAGCUGCUGCGCAGGCCAGGAAUUUUUUUAUUUUUAUAUUAUAAUAAAUAGUCGAAUAAAAAAUUUGUAAAAAUAGACGUUCGCUGCCGGAUCAAAUGGUGGUAAGAUCGCUUUUGCCGUAUGAAACGGAGGAAGGGUACCGGCCGCCACGUGCUGCCCUCCCUCGCCGGCUGAAAUGGUGGUAAGGACUCUUCCGCCAUUUCAACCAGUGAGGCAGCCCGGGUUGGCGACCUAUAGCCGGUUGAAACGGCUAUAACGACCCCUUCAGUUAUUUUCCCUUCAUUUUUCUGACUUUUAUCAAUUAUUUUUCCUUUAUUGUUUUAUUAUUUCAAUUAUAUAGUUGUAUCGCAAUACUUAACUUAGUAAUUUGAGGUUAUACCUCUAUCUUGAAUAUUGUUCCUUUAAAUUUUUAUAUGACAUUUUUUUAGAGAGGUAGAGUGAUUGCACGAAAUCAUUGAAAAUCAUGAAAUUCCGGCCUACGUAAAGUAGUCUGUGGAUACAAUUGUACAAUCAUGCGCGUUACAAUUGUACACAUGAUAGCUUGUACCGGCGUACAAAAGAUAAAAGAGGUCCUACAUACUAAAUGUGUUCUCGCUUGAAACGAAGCUGCCACCUCCCCCUCCCCGACCACGACCACGCCUCGCUGCCCACUGCGCUGCUCUGGUCUGCUGCUGGUCGUACGUCAAGAGCUCUCGUGGGGCAACGUUGCAAGGCGGACGUCCUACUGCGGCUGCAGAUGGUGUCCCGAGCUCCUGGGUCGCGUCCUGUGUAGGAGCCUUCGGGGCCUCACGCAACUACGAGGCACCGAUCACGUCAGGCUUAGGUCCGAAAAGAUUGUCCACCCAUGCAUGGAAGCCUGACAAGAUUGUCCACCCAUGCAUGGAUGUUGGACCUCUGUCCCUCCUCCUCGACGGAGUCCUCCGGAGCCUCUCCGUGGUCUGCGAACCCUGUUAUGCAACUAAGGAAAUGAUAUUGUUGGUUUCGUUGCAUAUUUAAAAUGGAAUAGAAAACAUGUAUUCGUUGUGCACCGAAGCGGUGUAGCUCUAUGCCUGGUGGUGCUAAAGAAGGCCCCGCUCCACUGUAAGCUCCGUACAUCUGCGGGCUGUGUUAAUAAAUUAUUAUUUAGUAAGGUGAAUUGAAAAAUAUUUCGUAAAUGGUGUACGACAAAAUAACGUACCGAAAGUGCAUUUCAAGUUUACCCCAAGAUGUGAUAAGAUGGUAUGGAUGUAAAAGUUUCUAUGCACCUUUUUUUAUAGGUACCUGGUAAUAAUCGAUGACAUUUGGCAUUGGGAAGAAUGGGAAGUCAUCCGAAAAGCUCUUUCCAAGAAUAAUAUGGGCUCUAAAAUAAUCAUGACGACUCGUGUCAAGGCUUUAGCUGACAAAUGUCGAACUGAACAAGGUGCACAUGUGUAUACACAGAGUUUUCAUCACGAGGACGCUAAAAGACUAUCAGACAUGAUACUGAACAAGUCUGUCGGAAGAGACAUACUUGAAGCCAAUGCGGAGUGGCUACCCAGAAAGAUUGUGCAUACGAGUGGUUUGAUGCCACUAGCAAUAAUCUGUUUGUCGUCAGCAUGGGCAGAGAGCCAUGGGCAAGACGACGACUAUGGGGAAUAUUGGUAUAUUUGGGUAAGUGAAGUGCUGAUGGAUAGGUUUCUGAGUACUCCAUCCUUGAAACCACUACUCCAGAGUUUAUGCCUUGUUUUCGACGAUCUUCCCGUUGAGCUGAGGACUUGCUUGCUGUACUGCAGCAUAUACCCUCUGGGUUACUUGAUUCAAAGGGGUUGCUUGGUCAGAAAAUGGAUACCCGAAAGAUUUGUUUCGCAACAAGAAGUAUCAGAAGCUUACUUUGACAAGCUUGUUUCUAGGAAUCUAUUGCAGCCGGUACCCAAAUACCAGAUCUUUUACAUUUCCACCCCAUAAUGAUAGCCUUCCUUGUAUGCAGAGCAAAAGAAGAUAAUUUUGUUGCUUGUCGGCAGCACAACAAUGGCCGCGGUAGCUCCUCGCACGCCAAACAGAUCCGUCGCCUUUCUCUCGACACGGAUUGCAUUCCAGAUGAGGAUGUAGUAUCUCAUAUUCGCUCCCUUGCUGUUCUUAGUGACCAACCCCACAUUGGUGUCCCCUUGAAGAAGUUUAAAAACCUGCGAGUGCUAGAAAUUGACAGCUGUAAACGUCUAGAGAACUUUUCUCUGGUGGAUAUAUGCGGGCUGAUCUGGCUGCGGUAUCUGGGUCUCAACGGCUGCCUUGAAAUCACAGAGAUCCCACGGGAGAUUUGGAGACUGCAGAAUCUGGAGACGCUAGAGGUGAGGAACACAGGUAUUUGUAAACUACCCAUGGAAAUUGGGACACUGGUGCAUUUAAGGACUCUGAAUGUAAGUGGCACAAUGGUCACAGAGGUUCCAAGGGAAAUCACCGGACUUUCUCGUUUGGAGAAUCUGGAUGUAAGCUCGACAGGGCUGAAAGAGUUGCCUAAGGAAGUAGGAAAACUACAGGAGUUGAGGACUCUGGACAUUAGAGUGACUAAAGUCAGAGAGCUACCCCGCAGGGAAAUUCCAAAUUCUUUUUUAAGUGUGGUCGGCCACUUUGAUUCGAGUUCUGGUCGAGUGGUGAAGUUGCCUCUGGGUGUCUUCAGAUCAAGUGGUGAUGAACAGGUUAUUUCCUCUUCUGGAGCAAAUUUCAGGGAGAGCCUAUCCAUCCUCGUGCUCUUUAAUCAUCUCUACAAGAGGUGUGAAGUUCUUCCAGUUCCGAUGCAUAGAGUUGCCGGGAGACACAUGAAAGUCCCGCAGUGGGUCAAGCAAGACUUGUGCAAUGUCUGCUCCUUAGAUAUCAGUCUCUGCAAACUGGUGGAGGAAGACCUCGAGUUUCUGAAGACGCAGAUGCCCAACCUGCAGGCUCUCCAACUAAGGUUCGAGGUCCUCCCACGGGAGCCGGUUGCCAUCACUGGUGGAGGGUUCUUGAAGCUAGAGACGUUCUACGUCGAUUGCCGUCUGCCACGGGUGAUCACCUUCUGGGAAGGAGCGAUGCCGAAGCUGAAACAUCUUGAGUUCAAGUUCUACACCGGCACGGCAAGGCAACACUACUCCAUGGGAAUCAGGCAUCUCGACAGCCUUGAGAAGGUCGUGUUCCGAUGCUCCGAGUACUAUACAAGUCACGGUCCGGGCAUCCGCGAGACAAUUGAUGUACUGAGAAAAGAAGCUGCGGAGCAUCCCAACAAGAUCACCCUUUGGGUCAAUAACAUGAAACCUGAGGUUUUCCUCAAGACAAUUGAUGUACCCUUUAAAGAAUGGAAACGUGAACAACGUCUUCGACUAUCGACGGCAGCAGAGGUGCGAGCUCAGCGGGACAAAAACAACGCAAGGGCUGGAACUGAAAAGAAAAUUCAAGAAAGGAAAAGCAAUCUUGAAAUCAGGGAACGACGAUUGAGGGAAGCAGAGCGCUACUAUAACAUAUAAUAAUUGCUGCAAUAAUGGAUUUACGUUUUAUGCACUUGUUCGCUGGGCCUAAACAAAAACAUAUUAUAUCUUUUUUUUUCAAAAUCGGACCUUCCUUCUCCAUGACUCUAUGUGACAUUAUCUGUACGCACACUUGAUUGUCAUUAUUUUUCCAGUUUAGUUUCUCUUCGUCAUAUGCAGCGCUAGCUUGCACCAUGCAUGCGCACACUAAACAUUCCGUAUGCCUUGUUCCUAGCAACUUAUCCGUCCAAUCAUUCAGAUAAAAGUCGUCACCAUGUGAGUAUGAUUCACGCUAGUGAUCCAGUUCUGUUAAUUAUUUGCUUCCGUAUUAAAUAGAGUUUUAAAAUAUUUAAAGUUCAUUAAGUAAUAAACUAAGGGAAAAAACCGAACUGAAUUUAUUUAAUAACACUUGGAAGCUGUUCUAAGAGGGAUAGAGGGAUAAUAAAUAACUUAAUUUGAAAUUAUGUAUUUCAAAAUAUGUAGCACUUGAUCUUGUAAAUAUUAAACUAAACCUUAUAUAGUGUGCUUGUUGAGUUUCGUAACAUUUAAAGUUCAAACGCUAUUUUUAUUGAGAUGUUCCAAGUAGGUAUAUUUAACUAAACCCUAAGCAGGAUAUAGGAAUAAUAAAUAGCCUACUCUAAAAUUUAGAAAUUUCAAAAUAUAUGGCACUUUGGAACAUGCACACCAUAGUGUCACGCAAUGAAAAUAUUUGUUUGGAGGGGUUGUUUUUAAAAUAUUAUUAAAAAUGGUUAAAUUAAAAAAAUUUGCUUAUGUUUGGUUCUGCUCUAGGCAUGGCCGCAAUGUGCGAAUCCUCUCUCUGUUGGAGGGAUUGGAUGGAUGCUGCCGAUGAGACAAGGAAUUGAAACGGGCCAAAAUAAGUUCUCCUAUGAAGCGGGUCUGGGCCUAGUCAUCUCCGCCUGAGUGAACAGGGCUGCCCGCCAGUCCAAGAAUGAAACUCUCUCUGCACUGGGGUCGCAGAAGAAGAUGACGCGUGCAGCCGCGUCAAUGCUUUUCUGUUUUGCAUAUAUACCUCCUCAUCAAAAUACUGUGUACUGAUCCAUAUAAGCACGUAAAAGACUAAUCUAAUAAAAAAAGACAGCACAAUUAUUCAACUUGUCGCGAUCAGAUAAUUAUGCACAGCGCAAUUAUUAAUCGGAAUGGGUCUAUCGAUUAUUCGAUUUGCAAGAUGGCGCUGCUCGAGGAAAGCAUGACCGGAUUAUACCUAGCAUCCUGAACGGAAAAUGGUGGUGCAGAUGCUGAUGCAGAGCACUCUGCCUUGACAUGGAAUGGUACAGAGCUGAGCUCCCGUCUCGGAUUAGUUCCCUUCUCGGAUUUGUAUCUCGUGCGCAGGAGCCUGAGACCAGAUCGAAUUCGUUUCGGCUUCAAGCGGGCCUGGCCCUGGUCUUCUGUCUAAGGCCCGCUUAUAUAUAGAAAGAUAAAAAACGCAAUGAUCUUGGAUUCUUCGUUAAAGCUAACCCUCAGGAGAUCGUCAUCAGGUACCAAAAAGGGUCAAGUUAAAGAUUUAAGGUAAUUCUUCCUGCCUCCUCAUCAGAUGAAAUUUAGGUGCACAGCUUGACGGUCCCCAUGUUCUCACUUGGCCUUGUGCUGCCGUCACUUUUGUUCAGUGUUUUCCAUCUUCAGCUCAUCUGUACACAACUACAGACAUUAGUUUGACACUUUUUGCUAUCCUUGCACAACUGGCGGCAUAAUGAACGCUCCAGUAGUGUUCUUGUGCAGUCACACAGCUAGUGCUUCAUUCAUGUAUUUAUAACCCCAACAAACACUGGAACGAUGUAGCUAGCAGCUCCAGCCAUACAUGAUAGAACGCGAAACACUAAUCAAUAAACAACCAAAAAAAAAACCUCAGCCUAUUUUGGUCGAACACAACAUCUAACCACAAAUUAUUGUCGCCUUCCGAUCCCCGGUCCGUCGCCACCUCCCCGGCCGAAUGAAGAGGCACUCGAUGCUAAGACUGUUGACGAAGAGGCACUCGAUGCUCCCACUGCUACAAAAGCUGAGGUUAAAACAGAACCUGAGAAUCGGGAGGAUGAGAAAACUAGCAAGCAUUUAGGGAGGAGCAGUGCUAGUUCGAACCAAGGAAGCACGAACGGUUAUGCCUCAGCAGCACCAGGCCUUAACGAACAGGAAGCCAACUCUGCAUUGAAAAUCAUGCACGAGUUAUCUGAUCAUCAGUUGGAGCAAAUAGAGAAGCACCUGGAUUCCAGCACCCAUGUUGCUGCCGUGAACUGUCCACAGCAAACUCAAAUGGUUAUGGUUUCCAUGCCUGGCUAUACUUUGGGAGAACACGCAGGUCGCAGCCAAAGGCAGUACCACGUCGAUGGUCAGGGGAACAUGUGGAUCAACUACGCCGCGAACAGCCACAUGGAUGGGAGAGUCAUGACACAGGCGGCGGGUCUGCAAACUGCGCAUUUGUUGCCAGGUCCCGUCUCCGUCCCCGUGCCUGUUCCUGAGAACAACUUGGCAGGUGUUGAAGUUGGUCCAGCUCCAGGAUGGAAAUGGGACACCGCUGAACGCGUACUGAUAUGCGACAUGGGCGAUGCCCCAGGUCUCAGACUGCCAGAAGAGGUGCUGCACCCCCGACUUUUUUUUAUUUUGACCCUUUUUGCGAAAAAAUUUCAUAAAUAGGUCCCUGAUGAAACCAAUUCCAAAAAUGGACCCUUAGCUUGGCACCAGGAUGGCUGGCACCAAGCUAUAACGUUUGGCGCCAGCCUCCAUGGCGCCAAGGUCCGCGCACCGCGCCUCCACCGUGGCGCCUGGCCUCUGACGUGGCGCAAAGGUUUGGCGCCAAGAUCUAUGGCGCCAGCCUUGGCGCCAUAGAUCUUGGCGCCACCGACGCCAAGCCUUUUAACUACGGCGCCACCCUUCCUUUACGCGGCCCUUUCUUUCUUCCACCAUUCCACGACUUAGUUGCGCCGCCACCACCGUCCGCUCGCGUCGCCGCCGCCCCGCCUGCCCCCACCCCCGGCCAGCUCAAGCGCCCGCCGCCGCCCGCGCGGAGAGGAGGCCGGCCGGCGCCCGAAGCCGCCCCCGACCGUCGGCGCCGAGCUCACCCUCGAUCGGCCGGCUGUUGCCGCGCCUGGCGCUCGCCCCGGUUGCUCCUGCGCCCGUCGCCGACUUGCUGGAAGGCCGCCCGCUGACCGCCNNNNNNNNNNNNNNNNNNNNNNNNNNNNNNNNNNNNNNNNNNNNNNNNNNNNNNNNNNNNNNNNNNNNNNNNNNNNNNNNNNNNNNNNNNNNNNNNNNNNNNNNNNNNNNNNNNNNNNNNNNNNNNNNNNNNNNNNNNNNNNNNNNNNNNNNNNNNNNNNNNNNNNNNNNNNNNNNNNNNNNNNNNNNNNNNNNNNNNNNNNNNNNNNNNNNNNNNNNNNNNNNNNNNNNNNNNNNNNNNNNNNNNNNNNNNNNNNNNNNNNNNNNNNNNNNNNNNNNNNNNNNNNNNNNNNNNNNNNNNNNNNNNNNNNNNNNNNNNNNNNNNNNNNNNNNNNNNNNNNNNNNNNNNNNNNNNNNNNNNNNNNNNNNNNNNNNNNNNNNNNNNNNNNNNNNNNNNNNNNNNNNNNNNNNNNNNNNNNNNNNNNNNNNNNNNNNNNNNNNNNNNNNNNNNNNNNNNNNNNNNNNNNNNNNNNNNNNNNNNNNNNNNNNNNNNNNNNNNNNNNNNNNNNNNNNNNNNNNNNNNNNNNNNNNNNNNNNNNNNNNNNNNNNNNNNNNNNNNNNNNNNNNNNNNNNNNNNNNNNNNNNNNNNNNNNNNNNNNNNNNNNNNNNNNNNNNNNNNNNNNNNNNNNNNNNNNNNNNNNNNNNNNNNNNNNNNNNNNNNNNNNNNNNNNNNNNNNNNNNNNNNNNNNNNNNNNNNNNNNNNNNNNNNNNNNNNNNNNNNNNNNNNNNNNNNNNNNNNNNNNNNNNNNNNNNNNNNNNNNNNNNNNNNNNNNNNNNNNNNNNNNNNNNNNNNNNNNNNNNNNNNNNNNNNNNNNNNNNNNNNNNNNNNNNNNNNNNNNNNNNNNNNNNNNNNNNNNNNNNNNNNNNNNNNNNNNNNNNNNNNNNNNNNNNNNNNNNNNNNNNNNNNNNNNNNNNNNNNNNNNNNNNNNNNNNNNNNNNNNNNNNNNNNNNNNNNNNNNNNNNNNNNNNNNNNNNNNNNNNNNNNNNNNNNNNNNNNNNNNNNNNNNNNNNNNNNNNNNNNNNNNNNNNNNNNNNNNNNNNNNNNNNNNNNNNNNNNNNNNNNNNNNNNNNNNNNNNNNNNNNNNNNNNNNNNNNNNNNNNNNNNNNNNNNNNNNNNNNNNNNNNNNNNNNNNNNNNNNNNNNNNNNNNNNNNNNNNNNNNNNNNNNNNNNNNNNNNNNNNNNNNNNNNNNNNNNNNNNNNNNNNNNNNNNNNNNNNNNNNNNNNNNNNNNNNNNNNNNNNNNNNNNNNNNNNNNNNNNNNNNNNNNNNNNNNNNNNNNNNNNNNNNNNNNNNNNNNNNNNNNNNNNNNNNNNNNNNNNNNNNNNNNNNNNNNNNNNNNNNNNNNNNNNNNNNNNNNNNNNNNNNNNNNNNNNNNNNNNNNNNNNNNNNNNNNNGGGUUUGGCGCCCGCCGCCGCUCGCCUGAGGCCUUGCCCGCGAGGAGAGGAGGCCGGCCGGUGCCCGAAGCCGCCCCCGACCGGCCCGCUCAAGCCCGCCCCCGACCGCCCGGCCGCCGCCCCGCCCGUCCUCGCCCCCGGCCGGCUCCAGCGCCCGCCGCCGCCCGCCAGAGGCCGCCCGCCGCCGCCCGCGCGGAGGCCGGCCGGUGCCCGAGCCCACCCCCGCUGUUGUGCCCCUCCGGCCGGGCCCCCGCGCCCGUCCUGCCAGGAAGGCGGCCGCCUCGCCUAGGCCCCCACAGCCAGCCCACCAGGAAGGCGCCCACCUCCGGCCAGAGGCUGCCCGCGGCCUCCCCGCCCCCGACGUUGUGCGCCCUCCCUGCCCGGCGCCCGACCUCCGCCGGUGUGAAGGACUCAGGUAGAAUCUAGCUAGAAUUUAGAUUGUUAGGUAGAAUUUAGAUAGGUAGAUGAAAAUAGUUAGAUAGAUAAAUUAGAAUUAGAUUGUUAGGUAGAAUUUAGAUAGGUAGGUAGAAUUGGUAGAUGAAAUAGUUAGAUACAUAAAUUAGAAUAGUUAGGUAGGAUUGUUAGAUAUGAAAACUAAUUUAUUUUGGUAACUUAUUUUUAUUUUUAUGAAUUGCAAUGAUAGAAGGAAUAGAGAAUGCUUGUGACACUAUUUAACUAGAUGGAUGUCCAAUUUUGUUUACGUAGUUAGAUGUAUAGUUAGUUACAUAGUAAACUAGUUAUUAUGAUAUUUUGUUAAGUAGUUGCACAUAUUAGGUGAUAUAGUUAGCUAGUUUUAUGAUAUAGUUAGCUAGUUGUAUGAUAUAGUUAGUUAGUUGUAUUUAGUAGUUAGUAGUCAAUUGAUACUAUCUCAUUUCAUACUAGAGAUCUUGUACUUAGAAUGCUUCAUUUAUUAUGCACUAAAUGAAUUGUGCGUCGUUAUAUUGAUGUACUAGAUGGAGAACGUAGUGAGCAUAUAUCACGGAGGCACCGUGGAAAAGGAUGAAUAUGGAUGUGUUAAGUUUGUUGCCAUGCAGUGCGAGGUUGUGAUAUUUGAUGAGAAACCUUCGUUUAGUGAGUUGCUUUCAAGGGCUCGGGAGGAGCUACAUUGUCAUGGAGAUGAUGAAAUCACAGUCGAGGGCAUACUUCACCUAGGUUCCCCUCUCAACAUUCAAAAGAAGAUGGUCCCAAUUCGGUGUGCAGGCCAGUGGGAAAAAUAUGUGAGAACGGUUAUGAAUGGUCAUUCCCCAAGUGUUGAAGUGGUUGUUUGUCGGGUGGGAGUUGAUCCAAAUCCUUGUCGGUUUUCCCGACCAAUGGGUCAACUGGUACACUUCGAUCCUCCCGUCCCAGAACCUGUUAUGGACGUGGAUGUUGCACCUACUAUUCCCGAUGUUGAAUCUGCCUCCAAUGAAGUAGUUGGACAUGGUUGUCGGAUUGUUGAUGAUGUGGCGAUGCCCCGGUUCUCAGUACUGCCAGAAGAGGUGCUGCACCCACUCAGAAUGCGCUUAGGGUCGGCCAAAUGGAUGUGAUGCUCGGCGUGCAAGCCACGGGAGGCAUGGCGUACGGAGCUGCCACUGCUGCUGUGAACCCUGAGGUCUUGUACCACGCAGGUCCGGAGCUUGAGCAGCUGAACCCUGCAUGGUUCCCCCACGUCCAGCACGACGGCAUGCACCACCACGGAGGAAGCGGUGGCACCGGCGUGUACUUGCUGGGGAUGGACGGUGGCGCUGGCGCGCACGCUCACGGCGGCGGCGGCUAUAUGACUGGACCACCAAUGGUAGGCCCCGUGCACCCUGAGUAUGAGCUGAUGCCUGCAGUUGUGUCCCCUGUUGCUGUCUGGAGCGAUGGGGGGAGCGCCAUGGUGCCUGCAUUAGGGCAUCCGGCUGAGACUUGGGGACCGGCGUACGUGGAGCACGUGUACUAUGCCUGAUCGCCUGAUUUGCAGUUGCAACGCUUGUCGCAUUGUCUGAAAAUUAGCAUCUCUUGUUGUGUUUUGCACUUUUGCUUGACUCACAACUCUGCCCUGGCUAUGCUUGGAGGCUGUACAACUCUGCCCUGUCUAUAUCACUUUGUCUAUCAGCGAAUGUGCGGCGCGUGAAUGUUUCGGAGCAUCUAUUGCGUAUGAUAUCUUUAACGAUUUGGAGUUGGAGCAUCCGUUUGCUCUGUUUUUUUUCUUCCAACUUCAAUUCAGUCUUGUAACGACGCUGCAGCGUGCUCGCUUCUAGGAUGGAUUCUGUGUCACCUUUGCGGCCUUAUCAUGUAUGGUACCUGAACGAAAUUCGUGUGCUAUUUUGUUAGCUGAAUUAUCGUGAAGAAGCAGAACGAACCUAGGUAAAAGCCGGGGCAUUCCUUUGGCCGGAAUCUGAAACGGGAACCGGGGCAUGGCCAGAGGCUUCGGUGCAGAGCCCAGCUUCGACGCAGCGAAUACCUACCCCCCCAGCUCGACUCCGGCGUCCGCUCGUGGCCGCCGGCGUGACCAGUGACGAUGUGGGCCAGCACAUAUAAGCACGGGGCGUUGCGAGGCGGCAUGGGAAUGGUUACAGAGUGGAUCGAUUGAGCACCACAGCUCCCAUCCCCACAUGUAAGAAUUAUUGCUAUCAAACAAAUGUAGUAACUAUGGAUAUAUGAGGGCAUGCGAGUGGAUUCUGUGAAGCUUGAAGGCGUAUUGAUCAGUUGAUUUUGUCAUGCUCAUCCACAGAGAGGAACAAAUACUUCAAGAAGCUUGUGUGGUAGUUCUGCUAAUUAAGGAUACAUCAUCUAAUUUUCUGGACAUGGUCAGGAGGGUAGUCAUCUACACUCUCCAGCUGAGUUUUUGUCAGUUAUUGUCAUAAAAAUAUGAAAAAAGUUGGGAAGUUGAACCUUUUUCCAACAUCUCACCGCAAGCGCAUGCGACAACUGCUGAAGUCCAGGUAUGUAGUAGUCAUUCUACAAGUGCUGAAUGUGCCCUGAGAUCUUUAUAAAGAUGAACCAGUACUUUGCACUUUUUUUAGAAACUUGCACAAAGUCUAAUUGGAUAUUUGGGGUAGGCAAGUGUGCAUUAAUGAUAAAUUUGGAUUCGAUUAAUGGAAGGUAAAUAUUACCUUAUCUCCCAAAACAAUGAACAUGCCUGUUAUCAUGGGCAUUAGGCUAGUCCCAAUGCAAGGUUUCAUUGCACUAUUUUCAAGGAUGCCACAUCAUCUCAUGAGGUGUAUUCUCAUGAAUGAAAUCGGGAGUCCCAGUGCACAGUUUCAUUUCACGAUUUCAUAGGAUGCCCAUGACAUUUAAUUGUGAGGCAUGUGAUUGGAUAUGGUUAGAUAAAAUGAAACUCUAUAGCCCCCAAUGCAAGUUUCAAUAGGUUUCAUAGUCUUGGAAACAGUGUAUACACAGUUUCAUCCUGAUGAAACUCCUUCCCUCUCUCACUUCAUAACUAUUAUGCCAUGUCAUCAUAUAUGCUGAUGUGUUACCGUAUUUAAUGUGCAUGAAACCUCUAUGAAACUCCCACUGGGAUUAGCCUCAGGAUGAAACUGUGUAUACACUGUUUCCAAGACUAUGAAAUGUCAUCUCUGGAUGAUGCAACCAAAUUAAUGUAUAUAUGUCCGGUAAUUAACGUUGUGUUUAAAUUUUUUCGGUGCCGGCAAAACAAGGCGUCUCCAAAAGGUAUGUCUUUUAGUCACCGUGUCACUGUAACAUUAAUCAGUUUAACAUUCAAAUGAGUGAAGGGCAUCUUAGCAUGGUAAUUUCAUGCCUACUUGGCACUUUUGGCAACGUGCAAGAGUUUUUUUGUCUUCGAUUCCGGAGCCAUACUAGCGCACGCGAUCCGUGGGCCUCGCAAUUCUAUGCAUAUAUUAAGUAAGGUACAGGCACAGUUGCUUUUCAAAAAGCAACUGCUCUGCAAAUAAUCGUUGAUGACUUCACCAAGUCAACGUCUUCGUCUUAGCCGGGCGCUCAUUCCACUAGCAAGGUACUAAGCAGUCAUCUCUAGUCCAAAACUCAAGUAUCCUUGCUGCUAUCAGUGAUCCCUGCUUGUUUGCUUUCUCUUUUUGACCUUUUCCAAGUCCAAAUGCUCCACAUGCUUUGCCUGAAAGAGGGCACUGCUUGGAAUGUGGACUUAUUGUAUGGACAUGUUGCCUCGGCCAUUCCACUAAACAAUGAUUUUUAUGAAAAAUCCCAAAAGGUGUGAGUUUUCGUGUUAAGUCUAAAAUGAACCUUCGCAUAGUCCCAGGUCUGGUCAGCACAGAUUGACGACUGUGAGGGUCGGAGACCCUAUUGAUAUAUUUGCUUCGUGCAAACUUUCCUGGGGUAAUAUCCGCGAGGCGUAUGAUAGUAACCUUAUUUGGAUCCUAGUAUAUUUGUGGAUGGACCUUGAUAUAUAGCUAGUAAACACUAGUAGGGUCAGCAAAGCAAUACAAUUAAUGCUCAUGUGUUAUGAUUCCUUCUACUACUUGUUUAAGACUCCAUGACACUGAAGAUAAUUUUAGGAUGUUCAUUCCAUAUAUACCCACUUGCCACACUUUAGCACAACCUGUAUGACCUUUAACCUAAUCAUGCGACAGAAUGAUCACUUUAUAGCACCAAACUGAAAUUUGAUACAUUGACCUCACAGAAGUCGUCGUCUAAUCCUGAGGCUGAAUCGACUUAACCUUUAAAUACCACCCCAUCAGUACUGGUUCAAUAUGGUAUUAUAUUUGUAGUUUGAUUAAUGGCACAUAUAGUAUUACGUCUUGGAAUGAUUGAUGGACAUACGGAUAGUUUUGUAUGUAUAAGGUUGUUGAAGUGAUAAAAAUAUUAAGUCAUCGUGCAUAUACAACGGUCGGUAAAGACAUCUCGAACGCCAAAAUCAUCAAUCUUUUGUGUGUGUUUGUGUAUAUAUAGUACUUUAUUACAUCUUUGUAAUAUCAUCAGAUUAAAUCUAGCUUUGUCCAUAUAGUCUCCAAAAGGCAUGUCUAGUCAUGGUCACUCUAACGAAACUACCUGCACGGUGAAGUCUUCAAGCCCUGAGUCGCUACGAGAGCCUCCGAUCAGUGAGCCUCGCAAGUCUAUAUACCCAAUCAUGCAUGCGAUAGGUCGAAUGCCACUAUAGUUAGCACUUUAUAUAACCAAACUGAAUUUGAUACCUUGAGCUAUGGUUAGUUUACACCUAAUCCCAAGGUUAAGUACCACCUAUACCUAGGUUCAUUGCAUUUUUCCACGAGCAAAGUACAGCGUUAACAAAUUGAGUGUUUUGGAAUCAAUGCUCCACGCAUCUCUUCAAGUUGAAGGGUGGCUUCAACUUGUGCCGUGAGCAAGUUUAUUUAAUGAACUAAGUUGAAACACUGCAUCAACCGGCGUGGACGCACACCAUGGUACGAGCAGGAAGACUUGAAGGUUACCACCGUGGACCAGAUCUGGCACUGCAAGGGAAAUCUGCUCACCGAUGAUCGGGGUAAUGCGCUCAAGGACUUGUGCCUCUCUAUGGCACUCUCAAAGAUGCUCAACCGAAGGUUUGAUGGGUUCAAGCUCUCUAAGGCAGAGCUUCAGAAAACCCAUGACUUCGUCUUCAAAGGCCUUCUCGCCGGGGACGAGCCACAUCUGCGGGCCUUCAGGGUUAUUGAGGAGGAGCUUGUUUUUGUCCAUGACAUGUAUUACACAAGGUACUCUUACCUUUACCAAAAGGGUAAAUACCUGGCUCUCUGUCUGCCUGUCAUCAUGAUUGCCCUAUGCUCGUGGCUCACAGUAGCCUGCCUGGACGUCAAGUAUCAGGACGACCGUUAUCGCAGUAAUCAUGGCAAGCGCAGUCUGAUGUCUGAAACCAUAGUCAUAAUGGUUGUCUUGGCAUUCCUGGAGGUAUACCAGCUGUACCUGUACAUAGCCUCAGGUUGGUUUAAGGUGGCACUGAUACGGAGCUACGUCGCCGCACCUUAUUUCCAAACAAGCUGUUUCUCCGAGAUGAUCAUACGUCUUCUCUUGAUAUGGAAGGCGUUUCGCCCAUGGAAGGGCAGACUUGGGCAGUACUGUUUCCUGGAAAAUCUUGGCCGCAGAAGUAAGCUUAUGAGUUGUCUCCAUUAUGGUACACUGGGCUUGCUGGACAAGGCCAUGAAGGGAAGGAAGAAUUCAGUGAAGCUGUCCGAAGAUGUGAAGAAAGCCAUCAUUGAUUCCCUACUAGAAAGCAAUGGAGUCCUGACGAACGGCGUAACAUCGCUGCAAAAGAAUGGCGUCCAUGAUGACCUCAAAUGGCCAUGCGAUGCCACGGCUACUGACGGAGCGGUGGCUCGCACCAUUGUGGUCUGGCACAUUGCUACAACCCUGUGCGAGCAGAAGCUGGAUAAACAAGCCAAAGAAGAAGACGCUGUCAAAACAGCCUCCACUUUAUCCAAGUACUGCAUGCAUCUCCUUGCUUUUGCACCUAACCUCUUGCCCGACCACAGCUCCAUAUCGGAAUCCAUACUUGAUCAGUCAAUCGAUGAAGCAAGCAAGUUACUCAAAGAGGGCAAGAACAAGAAGAUCAAGGGCAAGGACAAGAAGAUCAAGGGCAAGAACAAGAAGAUUUUGGGAAGGUGUGAGAUACUAAUGGAAACUACUAAUACCGAUGGUUGUGUUGAUGAUGAAACAAGGCUUGUUGCGCAGGGCGUUCACCUUGCAAGGCAACUGAUUGAUAACAUACAAGACUCCACAACAAGGUGGAAGGUGCUAUCUGAUUUCUGGGCGGAGAUGAUGCUGUAUGUCUCGCCAUCCGAUGAUGCUCGGGACCACCUGGAAGUUCUUGCAAAAGGAGGGGAAUUCAUCACGCACCUUUGGGCGCUGCUCACGCAUGCCGGUGUGCUGAAGAGAGGCCCUACAGAGCCAAUAGAUGCUGUCUGAUCUUUCCAACUUAACCAGUGCACACGUAGCAGUCCAUAUAUCUACCUAGUGCUUGUAACAUUCUAUGUAUAUUGCCAACUGUCAUGUUUGGACACACCAACUUGUGGCACACCAUGUGUGAGUUAGUCUACCGAGGUCUGUAUCUCUUUUCAUGUCGAGUCUGUAUCUCUUUUGAUGUGGUGUCUGUUGUCAGAUUUUGGGCAGAGUAGGAUCUUUAGUAUCUGCAAGUUUUGUUAAGAAGAGCGCGCUUUCAGGUUGUCGGACAUGCGCUUUCAUAGUUUGUGAUUUUGGUGAUUAAUAUCAAAACACGAUCAUUAGGAGUGUCUAGAACAUGCCUUGAAGGUAUUCUAGGUUCUAAGGAAACAACCACAACCAAAGAUAAGAAAAGGAACGAAGAAAUCCAAGGAAACGGAUCAUCGGAUGUUCCGAUGGCCCUAGAGAUGGCGACGGAGCAAGCGUCGGAGUAAAUGGUACACUGCAAAGAAGUUCGGGCAGAGUCCACAAUCGGAUGUUCCGAUGGUUACAUUUCUAGUAGCGUCGGAUGAAUUCUGAGGGGUAGGCUUGAAAGCAUGUGUUGGAUGAUGUAAGCAUGCAGUCUUUGGAUGAUGCAACCAAAUUAAUGUAUAUAUGUUCGGUAAUUAAUGUUGUGUAUAAAUUUUUUUCCGUGCCAGAAAAACAAAGUGUCUCCAAAAGGCAUGUCUUUUAGUCACAGUCACUGUAACUGAAUUCUUUGCGUAGUUUGUUGUUGCUUAACUGCACACAUAAAUCAGUUUAACAUUCAAAUGAGUGAAGGGCAUCUUAGCAUGGUAAUUUCAUGCCUACUUGACACUUUUGCAACGUGCAAGACUUUUGUUGGUCUUCGAUUCUGGAGCCAAAGCUACUAGCGCACCCGAUCGAUGGGCCUCGCGAUUCCAUGCCAAAUCACGUGAUAGAAUGCCACUAGUUAGCACUUAUAGCACCAAACUGAAUUUGGUGCCUUGACCUAGGAUUAGUUUACACCCAAUAAUCCCAAGUUUUUUAUGUACCGCCAUAUAAAAUGCAAUUUAUUAAAACUGGUGAUGAAUGUGAUGCGACAAAAAUAUAGUACUUUUAUAUUGAUGUGUCAUCAACUUGGUGAUCAUUCCGAGUUUAUCAAGAUUCCAACCUUAGAGUUUGGAGGGGCUCUUUCUUCAAAGAUUAUUAACCCAGGCACGAUGGCAGACAUACAAUUAAUUACUGCAUGUGUUCUAGUCAGUAGGAUGGGUUAUCAGGUUUAUUAAAUACGUACUGAGGCGUAGCAUAUAUUGCAACUAGCAACAAUUUUAGCUUGUCAUCUUAAUUGUAUGUUUGCUUUCCAUGCAUUGUUCAUAUACCGUAUUUAGAUAGCAAAUUUUGCUCUUGCUCGUUUGAAGGUAAUCCUAUAUGUAUCCACGAGACAUAAAGUCGCUGAGCUUCGUCAGUCCAAAACGCACUAACUAGUUAGGUUGAGUGUUAGCAGUUUCCAUUGACAUACGAUCACCUAGUCUGGCAGCUAGAACGUGCGUGGAGUAAGAGUUAAGUAAGUUACAUACACACUGUUGUGACCCGAAACGUAUGAGAGUAGAUCAUCAUCAUUACAGUUGGAUGGAACUCUCUAUUUAUAGCCAUAGCGGCAGGCAUUUACAUUCCACAAAUGCCCCACCUCAACCACUAUAUUCCCGUUAUAUGCUCUACACAAUGGUCAUUUGGACAUCACGUUUUUUGUGCCACCUAACAGUUCCCUGAUUGACGCUCACUUAUCACCUCCGCGAAUCUCGGUAGGGUUGUCCGCACCUUUUUCCGUGUUCUUCAUCGUCGACGGCGACUAACUAUGGCACCAAGUUUGUCAUGUUUAGUGAAUCUAGAUAAGGACCUGGAUGUAGAAGCAAUGAUCGAAGAUGAGCUAAAAAAUCUGUCUGACAGUACAAGAAGAGGGAGCAGGAUUACCAAUCUGAAAGAACAGAGUUAUAAAAGGUCAUCAGACCCGCUGUUGGGGCUAAGGAAGAUAGGGAAUGGAUCCCGCUUCUGGCCAUUAACAGAUGAGGUAAGCUCGGAAGAUGAGCUUGAGGAUGACAAUUCUGUUGAAAAUGGAGAGGAUGACAGCUAUGCUGAAAUUGGAGAUAAAAAACCCCAUCUGACUUCAAUGGGAUGUAACUCAGAAACAUUACCAAGUAGUAGGAGUAUGGUGAUGGGAUACAAAAUCAAAAUCCCACAUAGGGCUAAAGAGAAAGGCAGUGGUAAAACAAGAGUUACUAAUAAGAAAAUCAAAACAUGGAAAGGUCCAUUGCCAAAAAGAGAUCAAACACCGAAAUUGUCACUAGGGGACAUGUGGGUGAAGGAUCUUAGGACAUAUGUGCUGCCAAAAGAAAACAUACGUCUUAAUUCAUUCUUGGAUGGUGAAUCAAAAGUUCUGGUAGCCGAUGAAGUUUCUGUUGAAGAAAGCACAUUUGCAAAGGAUACAAAGGAGUUUGAAUUUCAAAAUGAACAGUUGGUUAACCUUCAAGGACCAAUAAGAUGGGUUGGAUAUACUGGUUUUGUACACGUGGGAGCACAUUCAGUUUUCCAAUGCAUUGAUAGUUUGGGACGACUCCUUAAAAAUGGAGAAUUGAGGUGGAGACCUCAACCCAAACACAACCACAAACAAAUUCACAGAACAAUCCCCUCGAAGAAACAGAAGAGGAACUAGCCUCGGCCCUCAAACAGCUAAAAGCAUUGAAGAAGGAGAGCAGAGGGAGGGAGAGGAUAAGGGACCGGAGGGCCGGUGCACUAAAUUUAAAAGCCGGAGGGAGGUGAGGCGCGGAUGAAGGUACCUUUUAAUACCGGGUGGGGGUUCCACCUGGUACUAAAGGGUCACCUUUAGUGCCAGGUGGAGCCUCCACCCGCUACUAGGGCCUUUAGAGGUGUUGGAGUGGACACUUGUUGUCAGUUUACACAAGAUCUCAUGGCCAAGCUGAACUUAGGAUAAAAAUUAAAUACAAAAAGAAAAAUAAUUACUCAUAGUUUCCUCAGCUUGAAUAUUUGCACUGAAAAAAAAAGCUUUCACGCUGUCAAGAGGGAGUGAAAAUGAUUAGUUCUGUCGGCUGUUGCGUAGUGCUUUAAUGUCAGCUGCUUAAAAAAAACAUGUUGGAUGCUGAUCUUUAUUAUCACAUAUUAACAGGGCAAGUGGUAGUAUGUUAUAAAGAUUAGUCGUGACAUCAUUAGGAAUGAGAUGAGUCCGCAGUUGGCUGAAGUUGGAAGCAAGGAAUUUGUGUAUGUAUAUGUGUGUGUAUAUAUAUAUAUAUAUAUAUAUAUAUAUAUAUAUAUAUAUANNNNNNNNNNNNNNNNNNNNNNNNNNNNNNNNNNNNNNNNNNNNNNNNNNNNNNNNNNNNNNNNNNNNNNNNNNNNNNNNNNNNNNNNNNNNNNNNNNNNNNNNNNNNNNNNNNNNNNNNNNNNNNNNNNNNNNNNNNNNNNNNNNNNNNNNGUUUGCAUCUGGAACCGCAGUUUCCAAUUCCGCCGCCGUAUGCCCCUUCGCCGGACGCAGCGAUGCCCAGGGGAGGACGAUGCCGCUGUCCCGCCGGAAGCAACGCCCAGAGGACGGUGACGCCGCGACCCCGCCAACGUCUACUGCGUCUUCUCGGCCAACGUGAAACGCCGUGCUGUCCUCACGUUCUACGAAGAAGACGUUGACGCCCUGGGGUGGUUCCGCGCAGACGAGCAGGGACGGCCGCCGCUGUUACCGUCGUAAACGCGAGGACUGCUGCCUGUGCAGUCAUCAACGAGGAGAGGGGCUCCCGCAGAUUUCAGAGGUGGGCAGCGGAUGGCAUCCUCGUCAACGAAGGGCUGCUAUGCAUUCAGUUUGGUCAGUCAAACAGCCACUUUCAUACAGCCACUUUCCAAACUUUGAGAUGUAAUUCAAAUAUUCAAACCGAAUUUGACUUGACAAAGAGCUACUUUCAAUUGUUGACUAUGUAUCAUAGAUCCCAUUUUGCAUGUUGAUGCCCAUCAUUUACAUAUAGAGUGCAUCAAAAUAUUGAGCCAACGUCAGACCAAUGUUCACUAUCUUGAGAGUCGGACUCCAGGGUUCAGACUACUGAAAGUGAAAGAGAUAGCCCAUGCAUCAGGUUGUAGUUGCAGUUUGAACGUACAAGUUCAGUAUGCAAUAGUAUGCAGGUAGUAUUAUCCAAUGUUCACUGUCUUAAUGUACGGUCUUCAGAGUGGGAAUGGUCAUUGCCAUUCAGUUUAGACAAUGAACUCUAGACAGUGCAACUUCCAAGCUUUGAGCUCCAAACAAAUUUUUUUCCAGAUUGUUGUUGUGUCAUUGAAUAUUUGUACAAACUCUGAAUCGACGAAAUACAGUUCUCUAAUGGAUAUGCAUUGUGUUGUUACCUUUCAGACCACCUUGCCAGUGAUGGGUUGUCGGAGGAUAUUGUUUGAAGAAGCAGGGCCGUCCGCGCCGAGUAGGGACUCUGCGGAUAGCCCUUCACCGAAAAGGCUGGAGAUGAACGACAUGAGAGUCGCCGUCGACGUGAGAAAUACAGAAGUGCCGGAAAGGUCACCGCCACGAUCUGAACCGUCCUAGCUGGGAGAACGAGACACUAUUGACUCCUGCAUCAAAGUUCCAGAGAUGUUGGAGAGCUCCAACACUGGAUUUCGAACUCUGCCCACACAGAUAGGUUGCCAGCAAGGGAGUAAUGAGGAUCAAACCAUUACAACGGGAAGACAGGGUGUUGUGUUCUCGCCUCCGGAUACUUUGAACGCAAACCAGAUGAUUGCUAGUGAAGAAGAAAUUCCACCACAAACACACGUAAGUGAUGCAUGAUAAAUCUUUGUUUGAAUUGUACAAAGCAGUGAUAUGCAUAGUUAAAAAGCACAAAUGCAUGAGAGUAGUCAGUGAAAAUUUAUAUUAUGUCAUAUCUUUAAGGCUGUGAUGAUAAUUGAAUUUUCUACGCAAAUAUUGAUUCAUAUGACGGUGCAUUAGUAUAUGAUGUUAAUUGAAAUUAAUGUUAUUUGAAGCAGAAUGAAAGCAUGGAUCCAAAUAUGGUACCCAGAGAAGGGAUGUCAUUCCACACGGAAGCUGAAGCAAAGGCGUUCUACAUGAGAUAUGCACAACUGGCCGAGUUCGGCGUGAAAAUGUGCAACAAGAAAAAAUUCUCUAGAGUGAUGAGGUGUAGCUGUGAAAGAAAAGGAGAUUUUUAUAAAGGUGAUGAGGCUCUGCGAGUACGGAACAAGACAACAAUGAAGACGAAGUGCAAAGCUCAUCUGAAGUUUACGAGAGUGUAUGACAGUGAAGGCAACGAAGUAGAUAUGAUUAUAGAAAAGGCAAACCUAUUUCACAACCACCUGUUGCAUACGCCUUUGAAAACCAAGAAAAUGAGGUCACACAAGAGCACGAAACUAGUACUUUAUCAAAUAAUUGAUGAAUUGUAGGAAGCCGGCGUGAGUACGCAAAGUAUAAAGAAUGUAUUGCAAAAUAUGCAUGGGGGUGCAGAGCUUGUUCCGAUAACAUCGCGGGACAUAGAGAACAUGUAAAAGAACCUCACACAGUUUGUUAUUCCUAAAUAGUAAGGUUCAUGCCAAGCUAAAGUAUAUAAUCAUUGGUGUCGUUAAUGAAAUGUACUUACAAUUUAGAAGGAUAAAAUGUUGAGUUUUUUUAACCUGUUUUACAGGAAGGCCACUAAUGUACGGGAAGAACACGCAAAUGACAUAAACAAGCUUAUUGAAUUCUUCAAGGAUUGUGAGGCUCAAAACCCACAGUUCCGAUGGGAACCCAAGCUGGACUCUGAAGGUGUUAUACACAGCUUAUUCUGGAGUCAUGCAAGCAUGCAGGGCAAUUGUGCAGAUUUUGGUGAUGCAAUGAGCUUUGACACAACUCAUAAGACUAAUAUUUAUGAGAAACCACUAGCAAUGUUUGUUGGAUCAAACCACCAUCUGCAGAAUACAUUGUUUGGAUGUGCAUUGGUAGGAGAUGAAACAGCUGAAACUUUUGAAUGGGUGUUCAAAGCAUUCAAAAAGUGCAUGGGACAAAGUAGAACAAGGUGUAUCCUCACAGGUAAUAUGUUCAUCAUUGAUGUUUAUGAUAAAAAUAUUUGAUACAUGAGCAUAUACAACAAUUUAGAGCAAUUAAAGAACUAACAAUGAUGAAUUUGCAUCUUGUGGUAGACCAAGACCAGGCAAUGGGAGUGGCGAUUGCCAAAGAGUUCCCAGGGGUUGUUCAUAAGAUUUGCAGAUGGCAUGUGGUGAACAAGCACAUGCCACAUCUAACCAACCUCUUUGGGAUGUAUGCGAAGAAAAAUUUCAAGGACAAAUUUUAUUCUGUGCUAAACCACCCACUCACCCCUGUGGAGUUUGAGGCCGCUUGGCAGGAACUAUUGGAUCAGUUCGACCUACAAAAGGAUAGCACUUUAGAUAGCCUUUACUGCCAGCGAGAACUGUAUGUGCCGGCAUAUUUCAAAGACCAAUAUUGUGGCCGGAUGGCAUCGACACAGAGAAGCGAGAGCUCAAAUUUUGUUCUAAAGAAGUGUUUUGUUGACAAGCACACGGCUUUGCACAGGUUCGCCAAAAAAAUGCUUGACUUCAUGCAUUCACGUAAGAUGAAGGAGUCUAAAGAGUCGUACCAUGGAACGGUAACGUAACCAGCGUGUCAAUUCAUAUUUAUGGAGUGCGUGUAUAAAGAUCAUUUCCCUUAACUAACUGUUGCGCUUGUACUGUGACAGAGCAAAAGGCUCACAAGAAGCAAGUGGCCAUUUGAAAUACAGGUUUCACGAAUUUAUACUAGAAAUGUGUUCAAAGACUUUGAAAAGAAGAUGAUCGAUUGCACAGUUUUCGAUAUAGAAGACAAUCCAAUAGAGGGUGAAUCAUGCUAUCUGGUAACUCACACAAAUAGGUCUUCUAAAAUAUCUUGGGGGCAGCACCAGUUCAAAGUGCGUGCAAACAAAGAAAAUGGCGAGUUUCAUUGCGAGUGCAAGGAGUGGCAGCAUACAGGUACAUGAUAAAACUAUUACAAUAUUUAUAGCGUACAUCCCAAUUUCUUAUUAACAGUACAUAUACUCUCUUGGUUGUUUAGGUUUGUUCUGCGUGCACUUGUUGAGAGCCUUCAUGAGGAUCCAGCUAAAUAGAAUACCACAACAUUACAUUCUCCGUAGAUACACAAAAUAUGCACAGCAGGAGUUGGGAUUCGACAGGAAUGACAAGCUCCAAGUUGGGGCUGAUGGAGUCACACAGUUGUACAGACUCAAAGAUCUAACGUCCCUAGCAAUGGUUGCAGUCAGGUCUGGGAGCAUGUCGCGCGCUGCGCACAUUAGAACGAGAGAGGUGUUGGCAAAUCUUGACAAAGAUAACAAAGAAAUACCCCCUGACAUCGGGCCAAGCACAACAAACAUGCACCAAGAAUCACCUGGAGAGGUAAAAAUUCUAAAAUGUUGCAUGAAGUGUAUGUUGCAUGGCAAGGCACUUAACCGCAUACAUCUGGGUUUGAUUUUGCAGGAGUUAUCAGAUUGUAGUGAAAGUGAUGAUGACUAUGGUGACAACACAAAUGAUGAACAAUUGGCGAAAAGGGUUACCCAGAUAGGCUUGUAUCAUGAUACAGGUGUAUGCGAGUUACCACACUAGGAAAAAAGAUUUGCACAAUAACAAUGACACAAUGUGAAGCAGGAAUUGGGACAAGCAAACGUGGAUGGAAAUGAAGCUAGAGAGAGUAUAAAGGGGAAAAUGGUUCUUGCAGCAAAUCUGGUAUGAUUUGUCAUGGAAGUAGUAUAAAUACGGGAAAUACACAAGUUAACUUGCAUAUCAGCAAGAAAUAUUAAAAGAGAUGUGUUAAUUGUUUUUCAGGAUGCUUUUGGUGGAGACUUUGUGCGCAACGAGGUUGUGCUAACCAACCAAACAGUCAUGACAACUAAAGAUGCAAGAGUGCAUGAAGGAUGUGCAACCCACAGUGGCGAGGUUAGAAGAAUGAGUUUGGAAAUAAUUAAUGCCAUCACCAUUGUUGCAUUGAAUUUAAAGUUUGUGCAAUAAUCUUUGCAGUAUCAUGCCAAUGAUGAUAGACUGAUCAGCCGAGUCCCACCUACGAGAGCCAAGACUAAAGGGCGGAGCAUACCACCAUCUGAAAAGAAGGAAAUUUCGUUGGGAGCCAAAGGUGUGAAAAAGGGCACAAGGAGAUGCAGUAUUUGUGGGUACUACGCAACACAUAACGCGAGAACAUGUCCCAAACUCCAGCAUAACAAAGAGCGCUUGGAAGUAUUGAAGAACAGAAUGAGAGGCAGGCCACGAGGAGCACAGCAUAAGAGUAGUGCCAGCCAGCAUGAUAGUGGAGGAGAAGAGCAUAACAUAGGGCGACAGCAGGACACAAAGAAGUGCCAAGAAAACAAAUAUAUUGAUUACGAGAGCAAUGACGAGCAGUUUUUGUGGGAUUCGUCCAGUGCUCAUUGUAUAUAAAAGGGCAUUGGAUGUCUCUGUAAUAGAUAGGGAACAUUGCCAGUAGUAGUUCCUCUGAGCACGCCUCCGUGUGCAAUGAUGCCUAAGCGCAGAGACAUGUCUUUUGAAGAAUACUGGAAUCAUUAUCGGCAACGAGCGGUCUUGAAGGAUGUUCCAGACAUUUGUGAAAGUAGUGAAAAAACAAAAGAAGAACGUGGCAAAGGAAAGGUAAUCAAGAAGAAAGAGAAUAAGGUCAGGUGUAUUUACUCGGAAUAAUGUUUUUGUUCAGUAAGUUUAUUUACUAGAUGUCACAUAUUUAAUUAUCAAAUGUAUCAUUAAAUAGGAAGUGGCAAAGCCCAUAGAAAAACAGACUUCGUUCCAAAAGGAACACGACAAAUUUAUGAGCGAUAUAAUAUUUGAGGAGAUGUGCCUUGUGGAAGGGGAGCUUCCGGACAAACUAGCGAGGAAUGGGACAACAGAAGGCGAGAUUAGCACGGUGAGUUUUGAGUAUUUGAAAAGAAUAUGAAGGACAAUAGAAAAAGAUUAUUAUAUUGAAGAAUUAUCAUAGUGUGGUAUAAUACAUUUGCAGAAUGGGGAGAACACGGAGGCGGAGGUUUCCAGCAAGAUUGGACGGUGAAAAACAACAUCAAGGAAGCCAAGUAGCGAUUAAAUAAUUUACUUAAUAAUCGAGUGCAUAAACUGAUUUUUGUAAUAAGAGUAAUAUUUUAAUAAGGCAUUACCCUUGUCAUUGUGUACAUUCUUGAGUACCGACCCCAGUAUGCGAAUUCUGAUCGUGGCGAUAGUCAAGGUGUGAGAAUAUGUAAGAAUUAGUGCAACGGAGAACAUCCCUAUGCAGUGUUAGGUCCAUGAUUUCAUUUGUGGUUGUUUGAGAAUGGAUCAUGUGAUGUUGCAGCGUGAGAAAUUCUGCCCCCUGAGAUUUUUCAACACACGCUAACAGGAGAAACUGAACAUUGGGUAACACUCAUAUGCAAUAUGAUAGCAGCUUCCUUUCAAUGAAUCAGUUUUGUUUCUCCGAAUAUCUGUGCUGCUUAAAGGCGUAGAGAUGUUUCUGUCCGUCCCUACCUCCCUCAAUGUGCUAAGAGACAAAGUCAGUAUUACCUAUAAUCGAGCUCUUGUUUUACUGUGGAAAUCUUUGGCGUAAUUUUCUAUAGAGUAACAGAGCAUCACACACACGGCAAGUAAAAGGCGUAUAUCCACAAAUAUGGCACUUCAGACAUACGACAAAAAGGAUGAAACCUUGUGCUACAUUACUGGUGUCCCAUUUCCAUUGCCGUAGCAACAUGAAACAAACGAUCAGUUUAUAAUAUACAAAAGACUAGAAAUAGCGAUAGGAAAGCUAGACGCAGCGGCCUCAUAAGAGAGGCAUACAUGCUUAAAACAGAACAAAGAGAUGCGUCGGGACUGUCGCAGCAGCAUUAAUACACAUCAAAAAUGAGGUAUUCACAUGUCAGUCACAAAACUAAGCAUUGUUCAUGUAUGAAUCAUGAGAAUGUACAAUAUGCACAGCUACAAAAGAAUAAAAAAUUAAAUAGUAAAGGGUUGUAAUGAACAAAAAAAAACUAAUAGAAAAAAGGGUGAUGAUCAUCUCGACGGUACUGAAGGAUUUCGUCGGGCAGCGCGACAACCUUGUUCUGCUUAUGAAAAGUGAGGUAAUACAAGGUCUCAGCACGCAACUCUUUUGAUCGUUCCUGAAAUUUAAAGACAUAUAGCCAUGAAAAGUAAGAAACUGCAUGCGAAAGGGUAGAGUCUUGGGAAAAGACUUACAGCAGUGAUGCUAGUGUGUAGUGAGCCAUGUCCAUCACCAUCAUAGAACUCGAGAAACUUCAUGGCAAAGAAUGCACUGUCCGACAAGGCCUUCUGGACGGCAACCUUGACCGGGACAUGUCUCCAGUUCUUGAAUGAUUUAAAUUUGAGAGGUGCAGCAAUGGAGAGAGCAUCACUUAGUCGGUGCAUGAUUUUUUUCCCAAAUUCCAAAUGAUACUUGUCCCAAUUGUUGUCACACUCAGGGGUGUACAACAUUGAGUCAAGCACAUCAAUCCGUGAUUGGCCAAAGUUAACGCAAUAAACAGACCAAUGGUGCUGAUGUAGAACUGGUAGAAGAAUCUACACAGUGUGUAAAAAGAAGAAUUGACUUAUUUUUGCGAAAAUAUAAUAACAAGGACUUAUCUACUUAACUAAAUUCACGAGUACAACAUAUGCUGAAGCUACUCAAACACAUAAUUAUGAAACCAGCAAACUCAUGGCCAGAUUGGAGGACCAGAAAAAAAUGGACAAAAGCUAACCAAAAAAAAUAGUAGAUGUACCAUCUUUGUCUUCUUCAAGUCUGUGAAAGGAAGACAACGUUGGAUGGCUGUCACUGCUGCAAACUGGCUAUAUUUGGGUUCGGAGCUGUCCCUUUUGUGCCACUCAACAUUGAGAAUUGCCUUCAAGAAAAGAAAUGCCAUGGAAUAAAAAAAGUAUGAAAGAAUGGAAAAAUUUUAAUAUAUCUAGUGUCAAAGAAUGGCAAAAUAAAAGCUUACUGAGAGGCCAGCAUCAAAAAAAAAUUCUGUAGCCAUGGCACUCGGAUCCAAUAAUCAUCAUAGCUAAGACAUUUGACAAAUCCUGUGAUAAAAGUUGAGUCUGGGAUUGCACCAUCGGCAAAUGAUUGUGCAAUCAUGUCACAAGUUAAAGGGGUGCUACCAAACUGGAUCACCGGCAUGCUGUGGAUAUUACAAUCAGCAAAUGGAGAAAUAGAAAGUUUGGCUAUUAUAAGAUUUAGAAAUGGACAAAAGCUAACCUUUUCAAUGUGGAGUCAUCAGCGCACAUGUGUCCAAAGAGACUCAUUGCUGCGUCCACAUUGGGUGCAGGACGGGACAUAAUUCCAUACUUGAAGGGUGAAGAAUAUUUAGCAGGCUUCCGUGUCAUGCGUUUCCCUGUUCUCUGUUCUGACACAUGUAAAGUGCCUGACACCAUGUUAUUUUGAUCCUUUGGAAAGGUCAAAAUAACAUUUAGUUGGAAAAUAAUUAGCUGGAAGGAUUGCAACUCGAAUCGAAUGGAGUGGGUGGUAAUCGUGUCCAGUUAAACAUACAGUUUUGGCCUGGUCUUCAAAUUGGGUAGUGCGUGAUGCAGGGAGAGUAUGCAUAGGAUUUGAUUGCUCUUCACAAUAGAUGGCAUCAAUGAGAUUGUUGAUUCUAUUCAUAUCAUGGUUGCUGUCAGGCAAACUAGAAUAGGGUGGUAUUAUAUGAUCUGAAAAAUUAAUUUCAUGAAUACAGCGUUAAGCAUGAACAGAAAUGACUCCUAAACAAUUAAAGGCUGAGCAUAUGGGUAACAAUCCUGACAGCUGCAUAUUGUAAUGUAAGCCUGGAUACAACCUGGAAAAGAGAUAAAGAGAAAAUUCAGACUACAUAAAGCUAACCUGAGCAAGUAGUAGUACGUGCAUGGUCGUCCCUGCAAGCUUCUUGAUGAGGUUUAGUGCAAGGUGUAGUGCCACCAGUUUUAGAUGUGGCGGGAUCUGUGACCAAGAUUUCCAAAAUAACCGCUGUUAAGCUUUUAUGGUAAAGGGUCAUUACCGAGCAUUUUGCUUGUUGUAGUAUGCGAUAGGCAGUACCUGUGGUGUAUGAGUUUUGGCCGUUGCCAUCCCUUAAUACGUCAUCUCUGUAGCAAGAACUUGGGGUCCUGAAAACACCGCCGUUUCCAUGCUCGAAUAGUUGAUCUACAGAAAGUAAUGUACAGAAAAAUAAGUUGAAACUUUCAGAAGCAAUUUGAUUAGGAAUUGAAAAAAAGUACAUAAUCAGAAUGGAUUGUGGGGAUCGAUGUGUGCCACCGUUGUGAGGAUCGACAAAGUCCUCUUCGAUGCCUGAGUUGUUCCUCCGUGAAGUGUCCCCAAUAUUGUUAGGAUCAGAAGCCGACCUCUGGGCAGCAAUAAGCUCCUCUAUUACCGGUCCACACUUUUCAGCUAGACGAUAAGGAGCUCUAGCAAUGUUGCAUAGAGAAGCUUGGAUGGCACAAGUGUUCUCAGAUAAGGUUUGGUUAAACUGGUCGAACAAUUCAUUAAAUGCUUGCAAGGGGUGACCAGUGAGACAACCCAAUGGAUGGGACAAGAGAUCACGCAAACGUGGAAUACGAAUCUUAGGGACAUUAGUCAUGUCAUCCAAACCAACAUUGAAGUUCCUGGGUCUUGGUGGAGCCUGGCAUGUAUAAUGAUGUGUAAAAUUGAGUAUAUACAAGGAAAAAGAAAAUGACACUAAAAGUCAACCAUGUAAAAUAUAAGGAAACUACAUGGAACAUAUGUCAGGUUUUAGAAGUGAGUAAUGUACACAGAGCAACUAGAAGAAUAAUACAACACCGGGAAUUACUGCAUAUAUAUGUGCAUAGAUAUUGUGUGUGUAUUUGUAACAUGACAAUUCAAUUUAAUAUUUGGCACAUACCUCUGUGCCAUCCUGGGCAAGGAAAUAAUCGGUUAAUCGCCUAGAAUUAUCAGCUGCACUAUUCUUUUCCUUUGAAGAGCGGUGAGAGGACCGAAACUUCUUCCUACGGCGAUCUACAACCCCGGUGCGAUCAUCAGAAGCAUUCCUCAUACGGCGAACAGAUUUAUUGCACCCCGGAUCAUGGUCAUCCGCAAUAAAAUCAGCGCUAGGAUCAUCAGGAACAUAACUCUGUUGAGGAACAUUUCGGUUGGGUAGCUGUUGAAAAGACAAUCCAGGGCCACCACCCACUGGAUAAGAUGAUCGCAACUCGGGUCGAAGAAGAACCUCGAACCUGAAGUGAGAAAAAUGAAAGUAUAAAGUAUAGACCAUGAAUCAAUGAAAAUACAGUGGACUACAGGAGAGGCGGUGAAAUUAUAAACAUGCGCAUACCUCUCCUGUGUGCUCUCGAAUACAGCUAGCUUCGGGUUGAUAGGCAUCCUAUUCACCAACCGCUGACAAGUAUCUGUCCUGGGAGACAAAUCAAAUUGAACAUACUCUGUGUCAGUAAUAAUGAAUACAAUGAGUGGUUAGGAUCCAAAUAUGUUGUAGUUGUUUACAUGGAAUAUUUACAAACUGAAAAGAAUAAAAUGAUGUAAACGUUAUGACAGGCUUGGGAAAGCGGUAGAGAUGAGAACACAGACAAAAAUGAGUCACAUAAGACCUUCUAGUUGAGCAGAUCCGUGGAGAACCUUGCUGAACACCUUCUAACUGUAAGGGAACCGUAUCUACACAUGGAAGAAAAUAAUUAGAGAGAACUACAAAAACAACUCUUUCUUUACUCGUUUUCUAAAGAUUUAGCAGAUACCUGAAGACUCCAUGAGUAGGUAUGAAAAUGAAGGAAACCACAGCUCGGAGGGAUGAUGGCAGAGCUGCCUGGCAUGGGGGAGGAAAAGAGAUGUUAAUAAAGUAUAAAAAGAGUUGUUUUCGAGUGCAUCAUUAAUAUCAUAUGAAUCCUGUUACCGUGGUGGUUCUAAAAUACCUUUCUGUUUUAUUCUUCAAAAAGGAUUGACUCCAAAAUAAGAACAAUUGAGCUUGAUGGUAGGCGCAUAAAGUUGAAGAUCUGGGAUACUGCUGGGCAAGAACGUUUUUGAACUAUCAACUGGUACGCAAUAUGCUUCGUUUGCUGUGAGGAGCAGGUUCUUUAACUAUUUAUGUGAAACUGCUCUGAAUCUACAAACUUUUGACUAUGCAGCCUACUACAGGGGUGGAAUGGGCAAUUUGCUUGUGUAUGAUGUUACUGACGAGUCAUCAUUCAAUAGUGCGUAUUCUUCAACUUCAAUCAACAGACUUUGGCUUCCUAAACUGACCUUGCUGUGGUCAUUGGCAGAUAUAAGAAACUGGAUUAGGAACAUUGAGCAAGAUGCUUCUGACAAUGUGAACAAAAUUUUGAUAGGCAACAUAGCAGACAUGGAUGAAAGCAAACGGGUAUGUUCUGUUCUUCUUUAUUGUCUCUUGUCCAUGAUAUGCUGACAUCCUAUUUGCGAUUGUGCAUUUUAAUGUUCAGUUUAAAAUGAAAACGUAAAAUCUUACUGGUGCUUGGAAGUAUUGAUGAACUGGCUUCCUCAACUGACCUUGCUGUGGUCAUUGGCAGAUAUAAGAAACUGGAUUAGGAACAUUGAGCAACAUGCUUCUGACAAUGUGCUUGCAUUAGUUCUGGCAUAGAACUUCAUGAUGUGUUACCUACGGAACAAAGUUACCUACGGAAGAUGCGUGAAAUCAAAAGCUUAAAUCAGAUUGUUGAAUCUAAUGUCCGGCUCGGCCAUGGCUCGGCCAGCAGGAACUCGACAGCACUGCAUGAUGAAAGGAACGCACAAGAGCAACUGAUUAAAGAGAAGAACAAGGAUGCGACGGAGUACUAACCGACGAGGACCAGCGGAAUCAGCUGCGAAAUGCCAAAUUGAAGAUGACGGCCUGCGGGCGAGGUGCUAACAACUGAAUGCGGUGGAGGCCCUACCCGCCAGCAGCUGGGGAGCGGUGGAUGCGGGGGAUGCCGAGCGGCGGCGGCGGCGAGGGAUGGAGACUGGCGGUGACACGAGGAUCAGAGGGCGCGACGACAGCGGAGCGCGGCGAGCUUAGGGUUUGGGAGCGGCGGCGGCGGGGGAUGGCGAGCGGCGGCAGGGAGGGAUGGCGAGCAGCGGCGGCGGCAGGGGAUGGCGAGCGGCGGCGGGGAGGGAUGGCGAGCGGCGGCGGCGGGUGAUGGCGAGCAGCGGCGGGGAGGGGUGGCGAGCGGCGGCGGCGGGGGAUGGAGAGCGACGGCGCGCGGCGGGGGAUGGCGAGCUGUGGCGGUUCCUGCUAGGAGGAACUGGAACGGGAGGAUGUUGACCCACGUUCGGAGGAGCUAUAUAUAUAUAGCUAGGAACGUCAUGCUUGAGAUAUUUUGAAAUGUCUCUUUAUAAAUAAAUUUAUGAUGAGCAAUAUAUAACUUACGGAAUGAGAUAAGUUCAAGUAGGAACGACCAACAUAAUGCAUACACUACCUGGUCAAUGUCCAUAUCGGCUGGAAACUCAAAGUUGCUCUCUGUACGUAUCCUCAUAUGCAAACCAGAUGGUGUCGUCUGAUGGGAAUCAAUUGUAAAAAUCCUUAAAAUUCCCAGCUGCGGUUGAUACUGUCAGAGGAUCACCUGGGAGGGUUGAUGCUGCUUCACCGUGAGAUGUGCAUCGACAGCGAGUUACCCGUGCACCCUCAGCAUAGUCAGAAGGGAAAGUACUCUUGGUCAGAUCCUGACGAAUAUCAAAAUAAUCAUAGAAACUAAACAUAAAAAUGAUUAUGGACAAAUUACAUAUAUAUACUCACAACACUAUCCGUCGUUGCGUGAAUGAUGCACAAAUUACUAGUAUAGAAUUGGCAUUCGAUGCGCCCCCUUUUGUGCCGGUUUAAAGUUGGCCCGGGACAAAAGGGGUGCGCCACGGUAGGUAAAAAUGGAGGGGAGAGUUAGUCCCGGUUGGUAAUUGCAACCGGGACUAAAGGCCCUCCUUUAGUCCCGGUUGCAACGACUAGUUCCGGCGCGUUGGUGGCGGCACCCUUUUAUCCCGGUUGGAGGUUCCUUUUAUCUCGGUUGGAGCCUCCAACCGAGACAAAAUGUUUAGUCCCAGUUGGAACUUUCAACCGGGACAAAAGGUGUUUCGUUUUGUCUCGGUUGGAGUUUUUAACCGGGAUGAAAACUCAUUCCCAUUAUAUACCAAGAUAGAGGCCUUUCUUCCUCCUCCAGCCCGAGCCAGACCAGCACAUAGAUAGAGAGCUGAGCUUCACCUACUCUCCGGUGGUGCCGAAGCAAGGGAGGUGCUGCCCGAAGUUUUUUUCCUCAUUUUCGUGGGAAUUUCACUCAGCCAACACAAGUGUUGUGAAGGUUUGCUACUUCAUCCUCGUGUUAUGCUUUGAUUUAUGCUUUGGAGAUGGAAAGAUUAAUUGCUAGAAUGUGAUGAAGUAGAAAAUGGAGAGGUAUUUUGAGCUAGAAUGUGAGGGAGAUUGAUGUGUCAUAUAUAGUAUGUAUUCUUGCAGUGGUUUAAGAAUGAUGCUACCUUGCCUAGACGGUUUAUCUUAUCAAAUUCAAUAAGGUUUUUCAAAUCUAUACUUGUUGAACUUGCAUACCGUGUUCAUCUCUGCGAGCAUGUUCUCUGCCGAGCAGCAACGUAUGUCAAGAAGGAGGUUCGAUUCUACGAGAAAGAGUGGAUAUGGACAUCGUCACUGUGUCCCCUUUUCCAUAGCAUCGAACCUCUUUCAUGACGAAGUGCGAUGCCGCCUAGUUGAGAACAUGCUCGCGAGAUGAUCAUGGUCUUCAAGUUCAACAACUUCUGCAGUGCUAAGGAAAGUAUUUUUGUACAUAGAUGGCUUCUGCUACUUGCUGAACUUAUCAAAUUCAAUAUGGUUUUUCAAAUCCAUACUUGUUGAACUUGCAUACCGUGGUCAUCUCUGAGAGGAUGUUCUCCACCGAGCAGCAACAUAUGUCAAGAAGGAGGUUCGAUUCUACAAGAAAGAGUGGAUAUGGACAUCGUGACCGUGUCCCCUUUUCCGUAGAAUCGAACCUCUUUCAUGAAGAAGUGCGGUGCCGCCCAGUUGAGGACGUGCUCACGAGAUGAUCACGGUCUUCAAGUUCAACAAAUGAGACACUAAGCAUGGUCAUUUUCAUCAAAUGUGUUGCUUUUGGAGCUGGGGAGAAUGUAUUUUUAAUAUCAUGUAACUCGCUGAACUCGACCGGGCAUGUACCUCUGAAAACACCAUCUUGGAAGUACGCUAAAACUGCGUGGAAAGAUGAGUGUUCGGUCUACUUGCCAGGCAGGCUCAUACCUCAGAAAAUUCUGGUCGAAUAAAAUAUACAUUGAGGUUUACAAACCUGAGGUUUCCUUGAAACCAUGUUGCUAGCAAACUACCAAAAGUAGGCCAAGCAAGAGAACAAAGAUGUCAAUUUCUCAGCGUUGGAGGGGAGUCCUUAUUUAAUAUAUUAAGGAAUAUCUGCCUUGUUUAUUCACUACUGUACAACAUUAUAAGCAAGUGGUUGCAACUUGGAACAUAUAUAGGUGGGGCCAUGUCGUAUGUCCUUCAUUCAAUCAGGGCCGCCACAUCAACGUCUUUACCUUGGGCACAAGUGGCAAAUGGAACAACAACUUGCACGCAUAUGAUGAAGAGUCCUACCCGCGUACUGCUUUAAUUUUUUAUUUUUGUUGAUGACAGGCUGGCUGAUGUUAUGGGUGCGUCUCAGUUCUAUAAAUAAAGGAGGAAACGUGGUUGCCUAUUUUGACUCACCACGGAUGCAUGUUUAUAUAGGACCAACCGCUCAAGAUAUAUACAAGAUCUCGUCAUCGUACGUGACUCGGAUACCGUUUACAAAAGACUUAUCUCUAAUCUACCUCUAAGUAUCCGAAUCAACUAAGGAUGACAAAGUAGUUGGAACUGUUUACACAAGAUAUUCUAUUCUAACAUCCUCCCUCAAUCUAAACUUCUCUUCUUGAGAUUUAGAUGGUGCUUGAAGUCUUCUAACUUGCCGGCUAUCAAAGCUUUAGUAAAACCAUCCGCAACUUGAUCAUGAUACUAAUCUGACUUGUAAUUGCUUCUUGGCAACCCUCUCUUGUACAAAGUGAAAAUCAAUCUCUAUAUAUUUUGCACGAGCAUGAAAAACUGGAUUUGCUGAAAGAUAUGUGACCCCCAAAUUAUCACACCAUAAGAUAGGUGGUUGUGUCAACUUUACUCAAGUUCAAGCAACAAAGAUUCUAACCAAAUCAAUUCUAUAGUAACAUUUGCCAUAGAAUUAUAUUCUGCUUCAGUACUAGAUCUUGAAAUUGUACCUUGCUUUCUAUCACUCCAAGAUACAAGAUUAGGAUCAAAGAAUAUUGCAAACCCCCCUGUAGAUUUUUCAUCAUCAACACUACUAGCCCAAUCAGUAUGAGAAAAUGCACUCAAUGUCAUUGAACUAGACCUUCUCAUAUGCAAUCCAACAUUCAAGGUACUAGAGAAUCAACCCAUCAUCGUCUUCAUGUCUUGUCUAACAUGUACUGACGUGACAGGAAUUUGCCAUGCGACGACCGCCAAUAUGCUAGUCUCCGCACAAGCUAGCAACGUCCAAGGAGACUGCACACAGUCUCCCUUCAGUGAAUUAUAUAUGUGUGUAAAUAUAAAAGGCAGCAACAUUCAUGAAAUGUCGACCACUAAGAUCGUGGAUUCACAUUUAGCGAAAUGUCUCUAAAUGGUUCUUACAUUAUAAUAAUAUAAAAGAUCUCUGUUGACUUCACGAGUCAAGAUAACAGUGACACUGUUCUUUUUGCCACCACAGAAAUAUACUCACAUAGCGUGUGACAAAUAAAUAAAGGAAACACAUAUUUAUUUAAAUUCUUAGUUUGUAUUUGGUUUGCGAACGAGAUGGUUCUCUUCGUCCUAGUGUUCUGUUGACUUCACGAGUCAAGAUAACAGUAACACUGUUUUUUUCGCCACCAUAAAAAAUACUUGUCAGAUACCGUGUGACAAACAGAUAGAGAAAAUACAUAUUUAAUUAAACUCUUAGUUUUUUUUGUUUGCGAACAAGAUGGUUGUGUCUGUCCUAGUUUUUUAGAUGGGAUAUCCCUUCUUUUGCUUGGUUAAGGGAAUAGUGUCACCUCUAUUUUAUAUAUUUCAUAGCAGGGAUAAGGAGAAAGAGGAUGGAUAGCUGUUUUCAAUACGUGAACCACCAUUAGCAUGGGCCUUAGUUGUUAGCUCCAACAGCGGAGGUUAGCGAUGAGGACGGAGACCGGCACGCGGACUCAGUAGUGGAGCUGUGUGGCCUUGGCCAUGGCAAGAGAAGAUGGGAGGCAGUGCCACCAUGGCUGCCCGUCUGUGCUUCAUUCACCCGCCAUUUACCAUCAACCCGAGCUGCUUGCCGUCGGUCAGAGCUACCGCAGUGUCAAUUCAAUCCACCAUUCUCUUCCAUGCUACACUCACCACCUCACCGUUGAGCUGACUCGUACCUCAGCCAUGGACAGCCGCCAUUGACGCCAGAACAUGAAGAUGGGACACAUUUAACGAUGCCAAAGUAGGAUGAAUUGUUAAAAUUUUUUUAAGAACCCGAUUAAUUCCUUGGGUGGGGUGACGCGCAAUCCUAGCAAUCCCUGAUCCAAACAAUAUCAUAAACUUGGGAUAUCCUGCUUUGUCUUGGUUUCCACAAACUAAAUCUGACUCCCUCCGAUUCAAAUUGUAAGUUGUUUUGGCAUUGUAUAUAGGUUUUAUGAUGCACCUAGAUAUACGUUAUGUCAAUAUAUAUAGUAAACCUAUGUAUUUCAAAAAGUCAAAACAACUUACAAUUUGUAAGGGAGUAUAUUAGUGGUGAAAGAAGCCUAACUCUCUUAAUUUCUCUAAGCUUUUGAAAUAGAGCACAACUUCAAGUUGUUGUAGGAGAUUCGGGUGUAUAUAUGUAAAUUUCCUUGCUUUGACAUUUCUUCAUCUAAGAAAAUACAAAAGUGUAGCAAUCCUCAAAAUCUCGACGACUACCCAGUUCAUUCAUGUAUUCACACUUGUUUGUUGUUACUGAAAAGUUUUGUGUUCCUUACAUGACACCCAAGUCCUAUCUUUUAUUCCUUAUUUGAUAUUUUUAACACUUGUGUCACUUCAGUCGAAUGAAACAACCAUCAAAUCAUCUUCAAAAUUCAUGAAACUUUUUUUGUAAUAGAACAAAUGAAGAUAAAUCCAUUUUGCUUAAAUUCGCUAUGUAAGUUUUGCUAGGAAAUAGUUUAAUAAGUUCUAGCAUCUGAUGUGAGAAAUAUUAGUUAUUUUCUUAUAAUUUUCAAAAGUGUGUCGAUGCCAUCAAAAUUCAGAUAAUUUUAGAAGCAGCCUAAUUUGGUGAAUUUUAGUUUUAAAACUGUAAAGGUUUAUGUGUCCUUUAUAUCAAAAUGGGUUAAUAUUCGUUUGUUGUAUCCCUACAAAAAGUUUCAUGAUUUUUGGAGGUGAUUUGGAGAUUGUUUCACCUAACUAACUAACAUAAGUGAUGGAAAUGUCAAAUAAGGAAUGAAAGUUCGAAGUUGGUGACAUAUUUUGAAGGAAAAACUUUCCAGGAUCAAGAAAGGAAUUAACUCAUCUUCGAGUGUCAAAUAAGAAACUUUCUCUAAGAAGAAUCGAAGAAUAUUCUUCAAAUACAAAGAUGGUAAUGACCAUGUUUCUAAUUGGCCCAGUACACACUUGUUAAAGUUUAGCCGCGUUCGUUGUUCGUGUGUCGUGGCAGCCCCGUGAUUUUGAGAUGGAAGGAUAAAGAACAACACAACUUUAUUACGCAUGCAUUGGGUGACGUAAGCAUGCAAUCCCUGGAUGACUUCACCAAGUCAGCAUAUAUCAAGUACAGUUGUGUUUUCUUCCCCACGCUACCACAAAAAAUUGUAGUCCAAAACCACGUCUCAGUCAUCCUCAUUCUAUGCCAAAUUUUUGUCUAUUUUUCCCUUGCUAAAUUGCACAAUAAAUGUGUUCUUUUUUUCCAUGAGUGAAGAGUAAUGAAGCAUGGUCAUUUUCUUGCCCAUCUGGCCACCUUUGUAGAAUGUUCAAGUCUAAAUGAGUUAUAUUUGGACAGGGGUACACUAUGGGAAACAACAACUUUGCCGAGUGCCUGGGAGCACUUGGCGAAGCCCCUAAAACACUCAACAAAUACCUCCUUUGUCGAGUGCCCGAUAUAAUGCACUCGGUAAAUAAAAAAUACUCGGCAUUUUAAAUGUUUUCCGUAGUGGUAGUACGUAUUCAAAAUCGUGUUCCUCAAUGAACUCGAUCAAGUACUUCUGAAUACAAACCGAGACUAAAGGGUCUGAGGACUUUUGUCCUUUUUCACCCACCCAUGGGGGACCCUUUAGUCCCGGUUGGUGUGAUUUUUUCACCUGGGACUAAAGGGUCUGUCACGGGUGGCUGAUUUUUGACUCGGGACUAAAGGGGGCUUUAAUCUCGAUUGGUAUUUGACCCGGGAUUAAGACCCCUUCAGUCAUAAGCCAGCUUUAAACCGGGAUAAAAGGAGGCGCAUGGAAGAUGAGUUCUCUACCAGUGAUACCAAUGCUAGACUUGUUUUAACAUUUAUUUCAUUUCAACAAAAAUUCGAAGCCAAAGACUAAAUAUUUACAUAACCAGGAUGUAUAUAGAACUUUUUGACUGCUAUUUGUCAAAAAAAAAACACCAUUCCUUGUUAGCCAAUAGCAUAGCAAAAUCUACCUCACAAUAUCAGUAUGCACAACCAGGAAGUAAAAAAAAAGCAUGAAAUCAAACAAAAAAAACAAAUCAAGUUUUACAUUCAAGCUGGUAUAGUCCUUCUGCUUGAUAUUUCUGUGCAAAUGGAAUAAAUCUUAAAACAAGUCAAACUGGGAAAUUUGCGGGAGCCACCUUGCUAGUUUGCUAGAAAUAAAAGUAGCAAUUAGGAUUUCAUUCUAUGCUAUAUAUAUACAGCCUCAGGCCGGGCUCUCCAGGACUCCAAACUGUGUACUCUCUUCAUUGUGUGGUGAGGUAGAGAACUAGGGAUCCCACCCUGAUAAGAUUCCUCUGGUGGAGAAAACCGUGGCUACUGCCGACAUGGCUUUGGCACCAAGUCCCACUCCCCAAGUUGAUGCUUUGCUACGACAUUCGCAACGUCAUGAUAUGCUAUCUUUGGACUACGUGGUAGCCCUGUUCUUCGUGGCCGUGGUGGCCAUGUUCCUUUUGCAUAUAUUGGGUCCGUUACGCCGGUGGUUGAGCCACGGUCUCCUCCAUCACAUCGUGAUGGGAGUCUACACUCUCUCCUACCCAUUGGUGGGCUACACCAUUGGGCUGAUGCAGUCUACCAAGUAUUUGUACUUGAACGACUUCACCGUGUGGGCUGUGUUCCUGCUUCUGCUCCUCACCAGCACGGACAGCCUCACGGCUUGCCGCCUCGACGACAUCGACAACUGGAAGAGCAUCUACGUCAAACAGCUCUUUAAGGGAUUCAUCGUGGUGUUUAUCGUUCUAAAGUUUUGCAUUUACAUGGAGUUGGCUUCGAAUUUGAACUACCUGUGGUACCCGCUCUCAGCCAUCCUGGUCGUUAUCGUCCUCAAGUCAUAUCUGAUGAUAGCUUCCAUGAGGAUGGUGAGCAAGUCCUACCACGGCAAGAACGUGAAGGUGAUCGCCGAAUACAUGCAGCAUAUAGACAACAAGCUGGUGGCCUUCGAUCCUGUGACCAUGGAAGGCUACCGGUACAUGGUCGCCGGUGAGAAACACUGCGUUAACCAGCCUGGGCACACACCAUGGUACAAGAAGCCGGACGACUUGAAGCUUA